RNAcentral lists this ribosomal RNA (492 nucleotides) under uncultured bacterium. RNAcentral describes it as "partial 16S ribosomal RNA". It matches the Rfam family "Bacterial small subunit ribosomal RNA", at positions 29 to 507 of the family's 1533-position model. The record is from RNAcentral.
AUUGAACGCUGGCGGCAUGCUUUACACAUGCAGGUCGAACGGUAACAGGCCUUCGGGUGCUGACGAGUGGCGAACGGGUGAGUAAUGCAUCGGAACGUACCCAGAGGUGGGGGAUAACGCAGCGAAAGCUGUGCUAAUACCGCAUGUGAUCUGAGGAUGAAAGCGGGGGACCGAGCAGCAAUGUUUGGCCUCGCGCCUUUGGAGCGGCCGAUGUCGGAUUAGCUAGUUGGUGGGGUAAAGGCCUACCAAGGCGACGAUCCGUAGCUGGUCUGAGAGGACGACCAGCCACACUGGGACUGAGACACGGCCCAGACUCCUACGGGAGGCAGCAGUGGGGAAUUUUGGACAAUGGGCGCAAGCCUGAUCCAGCAAUGCCGCGUGCGGGAAGAAGGCCUUCGGGUUGUAAACCGCUUUUGGCAGGAACGAAACGGUGUCCGCUAAUACCGGGCGCUAAUGACGGUACCUGCAGAAUAAGCACCGGCUAACUACGUG